This is a non-coding RNA of Podarcis lilfordi (Lilford's wall lizard), 78 nucleotides long. NCBI's taxonomy places the organism in Eukaryota, Metazoa, Chordata, Lepidosauria, Squamata, Lacertidae. The record is from the annotation of a GenBank genome assembly.
GUCCCUAAGCUGGUGGCAGUGGGUCAGUGCACCUGGUUAGUAACCAAAAGGUUGGUGGUUCAAGCCCAUCCAGGGAUG